RNAcentral lists this transfer RNA (122 nucleotides) under Deinococcus maricopensis DSM 21211. Its description in RNAcentral is "tRNA-Und (NNN) (tRNA-Und-NNN-2-1)". It matches the Rfam family "tRNA". Rfam says of the family: Transfer RNA (tRNA) molecules are approximately 80 nucleotides in length. Their secondary structure includes four short double-helical elements and three loops (D, anti-codon, and T loops). Lineage: Bacteria; Thermotogati; Deinococcota; Deinococci; Deinococcales; Deinococcaceae. The record is from RNAcentral.
GGGGCGGUAGCUCAACGGUAGAGCAGGAAAUCCCCUCGGGCGUCCCUUGCCCGCACCGGGCCGAAGUUCGAGGGUUACCACUGUUAAUGGCCGGGUUGCAGGUUCGAGUCCUGCCCGCCCCC